GCCAAAGUAUCCUCCAGACCUGAGCAACUGAUGUUUGAUGCCACACGAGGCUCUCUUGGGAUGAAUCAUUGGCAGAGUCUUUCUUCAGUACUUCAAGGAACCGUAAUUUCCUCAAUCCCCCACAGAGCAGAAAAGGAUGCUGUAAAAAAUUCACAUCUGGAAGCUUUCUCUACUUUAUUCACCAUGGUUGAUGCCACUGGAUUACCUUUUGAAUUCAGGUUUGCAACAGAAAAUAAGAUGCAUAGAUUAUGGACUAGCACACCUGCACAACUUCACGUGAUGUAGGGAGUGAGGUGAGAGGACUUUCUGAGUGAUCCUUGGAAGGACCCAGAAUACUCUCCAAGGAUAUACUGGCACAAACAACCUCUGCUCUAUGUACAUUAACAGUUGGAGUACAAUGAUACCAAACUGUGAAGAAAAUUUCCUUUAAUAAAUGC
Molecule: long non-coding RNA, 437 nt
Filed under: Phascolarctos cinereus (koala)
Lineage: Eukaryota; Metazoa; Chordata; Mammalia; Diprotodontia; Phascolarctidae
Description: lncRNA (ENSPCIG00000031325.1)
Source: RNAcentral